GUUAGACUUUUGUCUUAGGACAAAAGAAGGGUUCUUAGGAGGGCAGUGGGUCUUGCUGGGUCCAGAUACCUAGAAGCAUCCUCCACUAGCUGCCAGAACUCAGCAGAGAGUGAGACACUGACAGGAUGACCAAGAGGCCAGGCUGAGACUCUCUGUGAAGGAGAUGCCCAGCUGAGUGCCUCCUCUCCUACAGGAGAUUGCAUCCUACCUGAUCACCUUUGAGAAGCAUGAUGAGUGGCUGUCUUGUGCCCCAAAGACAAGGCCUCAGAAUGGCUCCAUCAUCCUCUACAAUCGCAAGAAGGUGAAAUAUCGGAAGGAUGGUUACCUCUGGAAGAAGCGGAAGGAUGGGAAG
This 352-nucleotide long non-coding RNA is filed under the name Homo sapiens (human). Its description in RNAcentral is "non-protein coding lnc-INCA1-1:2". The record is from RNAcentral. Lineage: Eukaryota; Metazoa; Chordata; Mammalia; Primates; Hominidae.